CUACUUACCCAGCUUGGAAGAGGACAGCCUGAUCAGGAAGGUGGUUUUCCCAGGGUGAGACUCAUCCCUUGCAUUUCUAGAAUGGUGAUCUUUAAUCUUCCCAAAUGCAGGAAAUCCAGCUGCACCAUUUGUGGUUAACUGGGCUGUGUUCCCUUUCUUCCUGU
Bubo bubo (Eurasian eagle-owl) is the source of this 164-nucleotide small nuclear RNA. Its record names the gene U1. It matches the Rfam family "U1 spliceosomal RNA". From Rfam's summary of the family: U1 is a small nuclear RNA (snRNA) component of the spliceosome (involved in pre-mRNA splicing). Its 5' end forms complementary base pairs with the 5' splice junction, thus defining the 5' donor site of an intron. NCBI's taxonomy places the organism in Eukaryota, Metazoa, Chordata, Aves, Strigiformes, Strigidae. The record is from Ensembl.